CUGCCGCUUAGAGCUCCAUCACUCCCUUUGUCCUUGUAUCCUUUCCUCUAAUGUUUAUGACCCGUUUUCAAAGGCAUGUGCUGGUAUCUGAUGAUCUGUGUCUCUUCAAGUCUGUGCACAGACACGCAAUCCCGCUGCCUGGCAGUGCUUCCAGGGACAGCCGUCCUGCCGGCUCCCCUCCUCUGCCCCUUUCCGUGGAUAAAAAUGACUGAUGGAGCCCAUUACUUAUCUAUCAGAUAAUAGAUCUACUUCAACACAGAUUCCUUAUGAAACUCUCUCUUAGCAAAAUUUUUUUCUGGAUGUAGAGGAGGCGUUGGACUAAAACGUUGCUUUCCUGGGAAUGAAUUCUUUGCUCCUAUCAUUCUGCCAUGCUCUGUGGAGAGCUCAGCGAGUCUACAGACUUUCAGGACAACCUGUCACAGCCUCUAGGAACACACUAAAUAACUGUUAACCAAAGCAUGAAAUAUGAAACACAGCACAAGACAGAAUGAAGUGAAACUCUGCUCUGCUUUCAAAUCAUGCAUAAGCAGAUUCCCGUGCAAUAGGCACAGCUGAUUUUUUCCACUUCCCCUGUGUUUCCCUUGUGUUCUAAAAAAAAAAUAGUCACAAAAUAUUCCACCUACUUCAAGUCUUUGUUAUCCUAAGCUGGAUCUUAUAAAAAAUGAGCAGGGAAAGCACCAAUACAUCUGCAGAUGUGCUUUACUUGCUGGUUUUUAAGUCAGGAGAGCAGCGCAGCUGCCCCUGGAGGGUUUCUCUCCAUGCCCCCAAGUAGUUGGGGUGCAGGUGGGGCUAAGAUCACCCUUGCCCAGCUCCAAGGUGGCAAUUUAUGGAUGUUGUUAUGUAUAGGGUGCACAUUAAAAUCACCUAAAUGUGGUUAUUCGGUCCUUUUCACUCCGCUUUGCAGCUCUGCAGCUCUUUGCUGGUGAGCCAGCUUCCAUCCUGGCUCAGGCUAUGGUUGAGAUUUGGUAACUCAGCCCACACUUGUGCAGUCGAGCAGCUUCCAGUGCUGUGCAGAGCUGCAGCUUCUGCCUUCCUCCUUCCCACACAAACAGGCCCAAAACCCUAUGGCUUUCAGUGAUGGAUCUCCCUGCAGCAUAGCCAUGUUUGGAAGGAAAAAACCCACAGAUGUAUGCUCUGCCUUGCAGCUUCAUUGGAAGAAACAAGAGUAGCAGGCUCUGGAAAUAAAUCUGCCUCUCGCUCAGCACCAGAUCACCGACAAGUGUUCGUCCAUCUGCCAUCAGCAGUCAAACCGUGCGUCCGUCGGUGAGGUGUUACAGUGGUGUAAUUGAGUGAGGCUGUUUUGGAGUGGGCUCCGUGCCCACAUGGUGGGGCUGCUGGGGACUGAGAUGCUCCUCGGGAUCUUCUGGUGAUGGGUGGGAAUGGUGGAUCGGUGCCAGUGAUGGAGGGAGCUCAGCACAGCUGUCCCUCAAAUCCUUGUGCUGGGGUCUCAUCUGCAGCUCCUCGUAUCAGUUACUGGCCCCAGCACUGAACCUCUGCCCUAGCAUUUGGGUGUCAGUCCCUAUUGUCAUCACUCAUUCUGUGAUGUCCUUACACGGGCAGAAGGCGCACGUGCUUGUGUUACAUUCCCUGCAAUAUUGCAGCAGCUGGCAGUGUGACCUGUGCUUCCCAGGGCGGUGAUGUCCCUCCAGGGGCUUGGCUGGUCAUGGAACCCACAGACGGAGCCAUCAAGUUCUGCAAGGCCUCCCAAAAAUGUUGCCUGCAUCUGCACCACUGUGUCCCAUAACACUGCAAUGUGACAGAGACCCCAAGGAAAAUGGAGUCAGGAAGAUUAUGCUGAAGUUAUAGCUCAUUAAAGGAAAGCACACAGAGAUGUUUUUAUGUCGCUGUUACUUAUAAAAGAGCCAGUUAAGACCGCUUAUUACAGUAAUUACAGCAGCGUAAAGAGAGACCUAGCAAAGAUUACAGCACUUAGUAUACCAUCAUUGGGGCUUAAAUGAAACAUAUUUAGGACUCAAACAAGGCAUUUCCCACGUGGCAGGGCAAGAGAUGAAGAGGGCAGGAGAUGUCUGCAUGGGUAGCUUGGGUGGCUGCAGUGUCCCCAGCCCCAAGAGAGGGGCAGAGUUGGGACACAGGACCAGGUGGGUGACUUUUCAGGGGACAGCUUAAGGAACUCUUCUUAACCACCUCCAUCACACCGGCUGCUGCAGGGAUCAUGAAUCAAGAAAGAAACUGUGAAGGACCUACUUCUACCAUGUGACACGAUGCCCUAGUAAAUCCCCCGCUUACACCCCCAGCUUCCAGAGCUGGGAGGAACUGGACCAUGGAAUUUAAUAGCCCUGCUGGGACUUGUCCUCCCUUAAUUUAUCCAGACCCCCUCUGAUAAAGAAUUUAUGUUGUCACCUCUGAAGUUGGUGUCAUCUCAGACCAUGUACUCUUCUACAGCUGGAUUUAUACCAACAUCUACUUAAAACUCUCUUCAACCCUUUUCAUUACUUAUACAAACAACUUUGUCCUGCUUUGUUUCAUAAAGCCCAUAUUUUCAGAGCAGACUCUCCCACUGCAGAAUUUGCCAAAUUGAUAAAAAAAUUCCAGACUCCUCUUCCCUAUACAUCUCUCUCAGUCCUUCACAGAAUCUGCAUCUCUGCAUGGCCCCAUGCAGGGAGCAUCUCACAGGGCAUCCCUAUGCAGUCUGCUGCCUUCCUUCUUGCUGGCACUUCCAGAUAUUCCCCAGCACUCUCUAAGAUCAUAGAAUCAUAGAAUGGCCUGGGUUGAAAAGGACAAUAAUGAUCAUCUAGUUUCAAUCCCCUGCUAUGUGCAGGAUCACCAACCACCAGACCAGGCUGCCCAGAGCCACAUCCAGAUGCUCCAUGAUGUCUGUCACUCUCACCUUGCAAGGGUGAAGCCCUCACAGAAAUCACAAACCUGGUUUGGCUACUCUUGACUCUGUGGUUUAUGAACUGACUGCAGUGUCUAUAAUUUCUAUCCCACUUCCACAAGGUCACGGGGUCUCAGUAGGUGAUGCUCACUGCAGUACUCAUGCCUCCACAGCUGCAUUUUUAACCAAACACUGAUUCACUCUCAGCUGGUUUGCUUUUCCUUGAAUUAUUUCUUCAUUCACAGUUUGCUGAGGAAUCAAGACUGGAGAUGCCUGCAGCCAUCUCCUCUCCCACAGCUCAGCUUCUGCUGCAGCCAAAUUCUCCUUCCUUUGAUUGGCUCUGCAGCCCUAGGGGGCACCCAGUUGAGCACACACUGCACAUGAGAUGAUGCAGAUCGUGUUUUCUCUCAAAGGAGUACAAUGUGUGUUUGGCUCCACACAACUGGAUUCCAGUCUCCCAGAAGGAAGCAUGGCAUUCGACAAGGCGUUGCUCAGGUUGGGUUGUCAGGUUACAGCCAUCUGGAGUAUGUGGGAAGCCAGGUCAGCCAGCAGCAUACGUUUCACCCCUUAACAAAUAUCCAGAUGGUGCUUGCCCUGCUGAGCAGUGUCCUUUACAACAUCAGUGGCCUUGCGUGGAGCUCUUCUCCAGUUGCCCUCACAGAAAAGGGUAGGACAGGAAAAAUACAGGAAAACAUUUUCCUUUUUAAAUCCAAUUUAGGGGAUUUAGAAAGGACAUGAUGAUUUUUUAAGGGCUCCUAUGACGUGGUGGUGAAAAUGAGCGUGCAAACAAAUGCGUGUGAGAACUAAUGAUUUGUGUGCCAGUGUUCAGCAGGGGAUUGAGUUCCUAUUAAUUGCAGAGGAGUUGGGCUAGGUGACCUUUAAGGUUCCUUCCAACUGAAAUGGUUCUAUGAUACUAUGAUUCUUCACCCUUUUAGCAGAAGCUCCACGCCAGACCUUUGCUGGCCUGGGGUGGCUUUCCUGCUUGCAGUGAUGUGUGCAGGUGGCAUCACUGCUCAAAAAGGGUGGGCACUGGGGAGAUCUGGUGCCAAACCAAGCAGAUGAGUGUCUUCAGGUCACAGAAAUGGCUGAUCUUUGGGGAAUCCAUAGAAAAUCUUGACAGCUGGCAGCCUGUCCCAGGGAUACCCACCCCAGCACCCACCGCAACUGUGAUAUCCAUGGGCUCUGCAUGCACCCAUGCACCGCCCCUGCACUGAGACCACCAACACCUGACUGGCAUUAUCGCAGUUACAUGGCCAUCAACUGACUGCCCCUAUUGAGAACAAGCCUGAUUUACACCAGUGUAACCCAGCCAGCUUGGAUUUCCACCUCUGCAGCUGUAAGCAGAUGCAUCAGUUCUCCGUAGCCAAGCCUGCUUCUGAAACCUGCUCUCUUUUAUAGAGCCAGAUGUGUUUGAAUACCAGAGUUGAGCAGACACCUCCGACUGGCUGAUGCAUGCCUGGUUCAUUUUUCCAUUCAAUCCAUUUUCUCUGAAAAUGAGAUAUAAGCAAUGAAUUCAAUACAGUUUUAUUGGAUCCAAUGCACUGCCACUAAAACAAAUAUAUGUACACUCAGGCCACUACACUUUUAUUAAAACAAAUAGAAUUUAAUUCAAACCAGCAUUCAAUAGCUACGGCUUGGGUUUGUGGGGUUUUUUUUUCCUUUUUUUGUGAGUGUGUAUGUUUUAAAAGGGAUGAAAUUAAAUCCUCCUGGUACUUCUCAGUAUGUUCUCACAAUCAGAUUCAUUUGACCUAGGCAAUGUGUAUUUAUUAUAGGUAACACAUUUUUAUUAAACAGAAAUUUACAGAAACUAGAUGCAGACAGAAACCCGAACCACAUGUAAGGUUAGAUCAGGAGGACAGGGAGGAGGGUUCUCUGAUGGUUAUUUGUUAUGCUGGUAAAAAGCACUCCGUUCUACUCAGGAUUUAUUUCUUUUUCAGACUACCACACUUGGGGUGAUGGAUUUCUUCUCAAAAAAGAACUCUUGGAAGUCAGUGACUUUCUAGAAAAACCACACUGGCAGAUACAGGUAGACCAUGGAGAAGUGUUCACUGUUCUCUACAGCGGGACAAUAGGACUAAAAUACUUGAUAAGUAGAGGGGCUGUGGUGACGGGUGUGGAGCAGGGGUCUGGUGCAGUGAGAUCAACACAGAAAUGAAACUGGGUCAUCGUUUACAACAGUGAUAUUUGCUUAAUCACAUUUCCACACCUGUGUUCAUAGGUGAGAUUUUUUGCAGACAUUUUAGAAAGUCUUCUUCCUUUUCUCAUAAUGUGUUCCUGAAAGUCCAGCCCAGAUUUCCAUGUCUGGUGAAUAAAAACCAUAAUUUUACAAAAGCCCUAAUUUGCACUUCCUAAACCUUUACAGCACAUCAUUCCUACGGACCCAUCCUUUGAAAAGGAGAGGUCAUCACCUUUCCUAGUCCCGUCUCUUUUUCCACUUCAGUUUCUCAGAGAAUGGUGUAGACCUCAGGGUAACAGUUUUAAAUUGAAAGAGUGUGGAUUUAUAUGAGAUAUAAGGAAGAAAUUAUUCACAGUGAGGGAGGUGAGGCACCGGCACAGCUGCCCAUAAAGCUGUGGAUGCCCCAUCCCUGAAGGUGCUCAAGGCCAAGUUGGAUGGGGCCCUUGGCCAGCCUGAGCUGGUGGGUAGCAGCCUUGCCCACACCGGGGGGGGGGGGGGCGGAACUGGCUGAUUUUUAAGAUACCUUCCAACCGAGUGCAAGCAAUUCCAUAGUUCUAUGAUUCUAGUAUAGAACCACAGAAUCUUAGAAUCAUAGAAUUGCUCAGGUUGGAAAAGACCUUGAAGAUCAUCAAUUCACCAUUCAACUUUUGUUUUGAGAACCUUUUGCAGAAGAGGAACUGGUGUUGCUCUGCAAGCCAAACUGUUUUCUCCCUAAGAAAAACACUCUGGGGAGGCUGGUCAGAUGUGCCCGGGUGAUAGAGGAACCCAGGUCUCAGUCCAAGGCAGGAGAAUGUGCGCAUUUAAUUCCCACUGGCUCAUUUCUUUCCUUUGUUGUUGGUAAAGUUCUGGAAGGGAAAAGGACAUAAUUCCAUAAUCUUGUAUGAAAAGUAACUGUAGCAUAUGGUAAUAGCCUCCUUUGAGCUCAUGGCUGUGACAGGGAUGGGGAUGCCAGCAAUGCAGCCAUCCAAGAGGCACCUUGGCUGCACUCAGACCUGCCACUAUGGGAGACAAGCACAUCUACAGCCACUGAAGCAUAAUUCUGAUUGCUGCAUGAGCCCCACUGGGGCUGAUGGAAGAUGUUGGGUUUACAGAUGUCUUGGCAGGAUUGGUGUCGGAAGGGAGUGCACAGAAAUAGGGAGGUUCAGCAAGAGCGGCAUCUCCUGAUGCACCCUCUGGUUUAUCCUCCCACAUGCUACAAGGCACUGAGCUGUGUUGACCUUCCCUCCUGAAUCAAGGGCUCUCUCUGGAGUGUCAGUCAGGAAAGCAUCAUUAGAUAGCGGUGGUGGGGGUGCACCAUCCCCUCCAUAUGGG
Molecule: long non-coding RNA, 6323 nt
Organism: Gallus gallus (chicken)
Lineage: Eukaryota; Metazoa; Chordata; Aves; Galliformes; Phasianidae
Source: Ensembl